UACGUAGGGGGCAAGCGUUGUCCGGAAUCAUUGGGCGUAAAGAGCGCGUAGGCGGUCCGGUAAGUCCGCUCUGAAAGUCCGGGGCUCAACCCCGGGAGGCGGGCGGAUACUGUCGGGCUAGAGUCCGGAAGAGGCGAGUGGAAUUCCGGGUGUAGUGGUGAAAUGCGUAGAGAUCCGGAGGAACACCAGUGGCGAAGGCGGCUCGCUGGGCUCUACCUGACGCUGAGGCGCGAAAGCGUGGGGAGCGAACCGG
RNAcentral lists this ribosomal RNA (253 nucleotides) under uncultured bacterium. RNAcentral's name for it is "partial 16S ribosomal RNA". It matches the Rfam family "Bacterial small subunit ribosomal RNA", at positions 524 to 776 of the family's 1533-position model. The record is from RNAcentral.